CGUAGCCGCGGGAAUACAGAGGGUGCGAGCGUUAAUCGGAUUUACUGGGCGUAAAGCGUGCGUAGGCGGCUUCUUAAGUCGGAUGUGAAAUCCCUGAGCUUAACUUAGGAAUUGCAUUCGAUACUGGGAAGCUAGAGUAUGGGAGAGGAUGGUAGAAUUCCAGGUGUAGCGGUGAAAUGCGUAGAGAUCUGGAGGAAUACCGAUGGCGAAGGCAGCCAUCUGGCCUAAUACUGACGCUGAGGUACGAAAGCAUGGGGAGCAAACAGGAUUAGAUACCCCAGUAGUCCCUGUCUCUUAUACA
This 301-nucleotide ribosomal RNA is filed under the name uncultured bacterium. RNAcentral's name for it is "partial 16S ribosomal RNA". It matches the Rfam family "Bacterial small subunit ribosomal RNA", at positions 510 to 808 of the family's 1533-position model. The record is from RNAcentral.